AUGGCUGCCUCAUUUUUCUCUAGAGCCCAGUUGCAAGAAUGGGUACAAAGGGUGCCCCGAAGAGUGUGCUGUCCACCCUUUCCUCCAGGUUGGGCAUGCUCAAUUCAGGUCUCACAGAUCCUAGCAGGUGAAGGGAGAGUGCGUGGCAGUGGAUGUGGGUACUUCCUUGGAGGUCUCAGCACCAGCACCAGUGGAUGGCUGUGGCGUAAACUACCUGAGAUUCCGAGGCAGAAGCUCUGUGGAGGGUCCACACAACUGUAUGUUCACCAGGCUCCUAGGGGAUCUGAUUAUCAGCCGGGUGUGUGGGUACACUGCCCAAGAGAGGUGGUAUUCAACCUUGGUUGCACAUUAAAAUCAUUUGGGGGACUUAAAAAAAUCCCUCUACUCAAGCCCAAGCCACUGAAAUCAGAAUCUGUGGAGGUGAGAGAUUGAUAUCAGUAGUUUAAUAACCUAAUAAGGUAAUUUCAACCAGCAAGCAAUCCUGAGAACCUCUGCUAGGGCUUUCUGACCCUCAUCAAACCCCGCUGAGAAUAAAAAUAUUAUCUGAGCAGUGCA
RNAcentral lists this long non-coding RNA (555 nucleotides) under Felis catus (domestic cat). RNAcentral's name for it is "lncRNA (ENSFCAG00000043451.2)". The record is from RNAcentral. Lineage: Eukaryota; Metazoa; Chordata; Mammalia; Carnivora; Felidae.